Molecule: long non-coding RNA, 1118 nt
Filed under: Toxoplasma gondii VEG
Lineage: Eukaryota; Apicomplexa; Conoidasida; Eucoccidiorida; Sarcocystidae
Source: RNAcentral
UAAACGAAUUUCCUCGUUAUUUGUCAUACGGUAGAGUCCGCGCACCCUCCGUGUAAGACUCAUCUGUCGUAAAUCGUCUCAGAUUGUGGUGUGCAUUUGUGCUUUGUUGGCGGUGCGACGGUGCGGAGAUACCGACCAUAUCUUCGUGCCUGCCAGCACACCUCACGGUGGCAUGAAACUCUCUCAAAAGAUGACUGUGUAUAUCAGAUAUAGGACAUUUCUGCUCAACAAUUUCGAGAAAGCCAUCAUGCUGCCAAAAGUGGCUCGGGGAACAAGCUCUAGAUAUCCUGGUCAGUGAGGCUAUUUUCGAGGUGAGAGAUAUAAGUGCAACAGAACGACUCUUUGUUUGCAAAAAUAGCUCCGUCCACGUAUUUCUAUCCUGAACGAGAUGCUCUUUCGAGGAGUAAGACUCACUCUUUAUUCGGCUCACUGAGCAUCGACCAAAGCUCGAGCGGGUGUGGCACGUCAGGCGUACAUGAAAGAAAGCGGACUCUCGGGGAUCGGAGAAUCCACACAGUUUCAUGCGCCCGGUUGAUGGGAACCAGCGUCGCCUCAAUGUAACUGUCAGGCUAGUGGAGUGCAACUUCCGUUCAUGGGUCUCAUAAUCCAAUUUUUUCCUGUAGCUGCGUAGGUAUCUAAAUGUUUGUGGCAUGCGGUGCUUCAGCAACUGCCGGAAGCAUCAGACAAUGAGACUUGCUGCUGCCAAAGAGUACGCAUCUUGCUCAGUUGAUUGUUAUAUUGUUCAUGGACGGGUAACCUCGAAUAUAGUGAGUCGCGCUCGCCGGUCUCCAAAAACCAACUGAAGUUCACGGCAAGACCUUUACCCUACAACGAUUCUCAUAUUUUGGACUUGUCAGAACAGAGAUGCCGUGUUCAUCUCGUUGAUAUGUUAAAAGGAAGAAGGUAUGAGGAUACAGCUAUUUACGGAAUUGCGAAUGUUUGCUGCAAAAGACAUUCCCAGUAACUGGGAAGUUGACUGGGUAUCCUCACAACGUCCUUCCUUUUCCAGCGAUGUGGUCGCUUGGUAUGAGAGAUUAAUGUUGACGCAGAUAGGGUAAGUUUUUCCUGUUUGUCUCUAACGCGUAAUUGUCCCGAUACAGACUUCGGAUGUUUCAUUA